UAUGUAUUGUUUCUGAAUAUACCGCCGGC
Molecule: non-coding RNA, 29 nt
Filed under: Bombyx mori (domestic silkworm)
Lineage: Eukaryota; Metazoa; Arthropoda; Insecta; Lepidoptera; Bombycidae
Source: RNAcentral